UUGAGGACUACGUCUGGGCACAGGGCCGC
This 29-nucleotide small RNA is filed under the name Bombyx mori (domestic silkworm). RNAcentral's name for it is "ovarian small RNA-4122". Lineage: Eukaryota; Metazoa; Arthropoda; Insecta; Lepidoptera; Bombycidae. The record is from RNAcentral.